CAGAGACUGCAAGCGUUAUUCGGAUUCACUGGGCGUAAAGGGUGCGCAGGCGGCCAAGUGUGUGAGGCGUGAAAGCCCGGGGCUUAACCCCGGAAUUGCACCUCAAACUACAUGGCUAGAGCAUUGGAGAGGGUAGCAGAAUUCAUGGUGUAGCAGUGAAAUGCGUAGAUAUCAUGAGGAAUACCAGAGGCGAAGGCGGCUACCUGGACAAUUGCUGACGCUCAGGCACGAAAGCGUGGGGAGCAAAAGGGAUUAGAUACCCCUGUAGUCCACGCCCUAAACGGUGCACACUAGGUCUUGGCGGAUUCGACCCACCAGGGCCCAAGCUAACGCGUUAAGUGUGCCGCCUGAGGACUACGGCCGCAAGGCUAA
RNAcentral lists this ribosomal RNA (372 nucleotides) under uncultured organism. RNAcentral's name for it is "bacterial SSU rRNA". It matches the Rfam family "Bacterial small subunit ribosomal RNA", at positions 526 to 897 of the family's 1533-position model. The record is from RNAcentral.